RNAcentral lists this long non-coding RNA (3138 nucleotides) under Salmo salar (Atlantic salmon). RNAcentral describes it as "lncRNA (ENSSSAG00000093115.1)". The record is from RNAcentral. Lineage: Eukaryota; Metazoa; Chordata; Actinopteri; Salmoniformes; Salmonidae.
GCAGAUUGUUUCUCCCAAACUGCCAUAGCCCAGGAGAGCCCCCUUCCCGACAUUAACGUAACAAUAUACGCUACCUUUGAUCUGUCUGAAGGAAACGAAGAUAGCUGUAGCUCAAAAAUAAGUGAGCACUGAGAAAGAAAACCUCGGGAGUUACCAGGACUCCCCGAAUAUCUCUCCGUAGGUGUUAAGCAGGGUUCUCAGGGAGCCGGGAUAGGUUGUACAAACUCACCUUUUAGAGGUGGCAGGCAGCCUCUGAGCUAACUCCCUGAUUUGCACCAUAAUAGCCUUUAACCCAUGGUUGUGGCGUUCCAUCAAGGAACUGAGCCCUUCCAAAAGGCCCUGUAGGAACUCCUGAUGUCUCCCAAUGGUGGCUCCCUGAGGGAGACAGCUUGGCGGAGCUGGUCCAAGUCUGCUGGGUCUGUCAGGGCCAGUUCGUACUAUCAAGGCACAAGGUGAGACCCAAAUGCAGACACAGGAGGCAGAUGGUUGGAGUCUUACAAUGUUUAUUCAUCCAAACGGGUAUGAAAGAGAAUGUUCAAAAAGGCAAAAAGUCAAAACCAGAUCAGAGUCCAGGAGGUACAGAGUGGCAGACAGGCUCGUGGUCAAAGCAGGCAGGCGGGUACAGAGUCCAGAAAACAGGCAAGGGUCAAAACCGGGAGGACUAGAAAAAGGAGAAUAGCAAAAGGAGUACGGGAAAAACACGCUGGUUUACUAAACAUAUGAUGUGGGGGCACACUUCCUAUCACAUGACAUGGGGGCACACUUCCUAUCACAUGACAUGGGAUAAUGACGUACACUACAAAAGGCAUGCCUAUGCAUCACCCAACCGGAUGGCUUAAUUGUUAUGGUAUUGUGUUAUUUUUUAUUUUAUUUUGUACUUGAUUUUACUGGAAAUAUGUCUUCUACCUAUUUAAUGUUCUGGGUGUUUGUUGGUUCUCAUGAAGACAGGAGACUCAUAUGACUAUGUCCUUACACCACCCGACUGCUCUAUAUUGUAAUUUGUGACAUUGAUUCGUUAGAAGACUGAAGACUUAGUUACUAUCACAAUGUCAUAUCGCCUGGCGGAAGAUGCAGUUACAAGUCCGUGUCAACUACGUGCUACAUUUCCCCCUCGGAGGACAAUGCAUUUUUAUCCAAACUAAACAGAAUAACGAGGCUUGAAAUGUUGAGUAAUCCGUUACUUCGCACUAAUGCAUGCCUUUCAAACUUCUUUCCAUCGGUCUCGAGGUGGAUUCACAUCCUAAUCUAGACUUUUGGUAUAAAAGUUAGAGCCUAGAUAUAAUAUAUAAGUAUGUUUGGAAGCAUAAGCCCUUUCUAUUUCAAUGAACAUUUACAACCAAAUUUGUCUUCAAAUUGCAAGGCUUUGCAAUGCUCAUUGAAAAGCUCAAUGGGCAACUGACUAUUUUCACCCACAUAAAGUUGACCAACCAUAUCACUGGAGGUCAGCUCCCAGUUCACCACUGGAGGUCAGCUCCCAGUUCACCAUAUCACUGGAGGUCAGCUCCCAGUUCACCACUGGAGGUCAGCUCCCAGUUCACCAUAUCACUGGAGGUCAGCUCCCAGUUCACCACUGGAGGUCAGCUCCCAGUUCACCACUGGAGGUCAGCUCCCAGUUCACCAUAUCACUGGAGGUCAGCUCCCAGUUCACCACUGGAGGUCAGCUCCCAGUUCACCAUAUGACAGGCGGUGUCUGAGAAAGGCCCCAGACAUGGAUUGUUCUCCAUGCUCCCGCCCAGCAGGCGGUGCCGGUGCAUCAAGGCUCUGACAAACAGACUCCUAAACAACUUCAAUCACCUGGCCAUAAGAUUGUUACAUGGCUAACAACUGCUCUCACUCACACCUACGCUUCUGCUAAAAUGAUUAUUGGUUAGAUUUCAUACUCUCACAAUUACAUGCACAAACUUACACUCACAUACAUACACUCAUCACCAUAUACAAACCCACCUGACUAAAAUGUAAAUGUAAAUACCGUAUACUACGUCAGCUACUGUAUAAUCAACAGCGGCUAGACUACUUUAGUCUGUGGCUCGCUAGCAUUAUGUAAGGUACUGUUUAAUCAACGAGGGGCUAUGCAUUGUCUGGAAAAUAAUGAACGAUGUGGAAGGUGUGUUCCACAACGCUCUAGUGGAGAACUGAACCUUCCAAAUCAAAUCAAAUCACAUUUUAUUUGUCAAAUGAGCAGAAUACAACAGGUGUAGACCUUACAGUGAAAUACCUACUUACAAGCCCUUAACCAACAAUGCAGUUUUAAGAAAAAUACCUAAAAACAAGAAAUAAACAAUUAAAGAGCAGCAGAAGAUAACAAUAGCGGGGUUAUAUACAGGGGGUACCGGUUAGUCGAGGUAAUUGAGGUAAUAUGUACAUGUAGGUAGAGUUAUUAAAGUGACUAUGCAUAGAUAAUAACAGAGAGUAGCAGCAGCGUAAAAGAGGGGGGGCAAUGCAAAUAGUCUGGGUAGCCAUUUGAUUAGAUGUUCAGGAGUCUUAUGGCUUAGAAGCUGUUUAGAAUCCUCUUGGUCCUAGACUUGGAGCUCCGGUACCACUUGCCGUGUGGUAGCAGAGAGAACAGUCUAUGACUAGGGUGGCUGGAGUCUGACAAUUGUAGGGCCUUCCUCUGACACCGCCUGGUAUAGAGGUCCUGGAUAGCAGGAAGCUUGGCCCCCGUGAUGUACUGGGCCGUACGCACUACCCUCUGAAGUGCCAUGCAGUCAGAGGCCGAGCAAUUGCCAUACCAGGCAGUGAUGCAACCCGUCAGGAUGCUCUCGAUGGUGCAGCUGUAGAACCUUUUGAGGAUCUGAGGAUCCAUGUCAAAUCUCCUCAGUCUCAGAUCCAAAGUUAGUUUGAUGGUGAUGUGGACACCAAGGAACUGGAAGCUCUCAACCUGCUCCACUGCAGCCACUUCAAUGAGAAUGGGGGCAUGCUCGGUCCUCUUUUUCUUGUAGUCCACAAACAUCUUCUUUGUCUUGAUCACGUUGAGGCAGGUUGUUAUCCUGGCACCACACGGCCAGGUCUCUGACCUCCUCCCUAUAGGCUGUCUCGUUGUUGUCGGUGAUCAAGCCUACCACUGUUGUGUUGUCUGCAAAUAUAAUGAUGGUGUUGGAGUCGUGCUUGGCCGUGCAGUUAUGAGUGAACAGGGAGUAC